Magallana angulata is the source of this 926-nucleotide long non-coding RNA. RefSeq lists it as uncharacterized. NCBI's taxonomy places the organism in Eukaryota, Metazoa, Mollusca, Bivalvia, Ostreida, Ostreidae. The record is from RefSeq and is a predicted model, not a curated record. The transcript has 3 exons.
AAAUCAUUUUUGCCCUGUUUGUUCUGUAGAAAUACCACCCCAGACAAUCACGCCGAAAUACUCCCAGUAAUGGCUCAAAGCCUUGGCUAAUGGCAAGACACUCUACAAAACGCAAGAAAUAAUUUAGCGUGCGAUGAAAGUUCUACUAACAUUACAAGGACGGAAAUCCACAUGGGUAAUGCUAGUUCUCCAAAACUGGUCUCCUGAUGGUAAUUCCAGAUAGGAUGCUAUACAAUCCAGGUUUACUAUCCCUAGGCAUGAAAAAGGCUUCGGAACGAUGAGAGUGAAAGGGUUUGGUAAAAAGGGACACCUGCUUUCGCUUAAAAAAAAUUGCUAAAAACUGUUCUGUCUGUCUGCCUGAUUAACUGGUAGAGACUGAUCAACAACCAGUUAUUGUUUGGUUGGGGUAGACAGUGUUUCGUCCUUUUGAUGCAAAAUUAUAUUAACUGUCACAAUUAAAACCAAACAGCACAUAAUCUAAACUUGUCACGACACAACGACAAUUAAGGCCACCAAUUAAUGACUCAUUAAAAGAUUUUUCUUGUGAAAAUUCAGAUUUCUAAAAAAUAAUUCUGUACAAUAACGCGUAAUAGCACAAAUGCCAUUUUCAGGGAAAUGAACAAAAAGAAAAAGUAAUAUAAUCGAACAAAUGACCUAUUGGUGAAAUUUCAUUAAUUUGACCCUGUGGGAAGAGACCAAUGCAUGUCAUUAUCAUUGACGUGUUUAGUAUUAUUUCCCCCUCUACUUCAUUUCAUCCAUGUUAUGUGUAAUUGACGUUUUCAUUGAUUGAUCGGUUGAAAAAUGAAAGAGUAUUGCUCUUGAAACUGUUGAUGAAGAAUGGUGAAUGGACCACCUUGAAACAUGUGUCACAAGAAAGAUAACUCUGGAAUUUAAAAUAUCUGUGCACUCUCUUUGGUGGUAUGGGA